RNAcentral lists this ribosomal RNA (442 nucleotides) under uncultured bacterium. RNAcentral's name for it is "partial 16S ribosomal RNA". It matches the Rfam family "Bacterial small subunit ribosomal RNA", at positions 338 to 795 of the family's 1533-position model. The record is from RNAcentral.
CCUACGGGUGGCAGCAGUGGGGAAUAUUGGGCAAUGGACGCGAGUCUGACCCAGCAACGCCGCGUGAAGGCAGAAGGCUUUCUGGGUGUAAACUUCUUUUUAUAUGGAAGUGCAGAAGUCGGUACCUCUUGAAUAAUCCAUGGCGAAUUACUUGCCAGCAGCCGCGGUAAUACGGAGGUGGCAAGCGUUUUCCGGAUUUACUGGGUGUAAAGGGAGUGAAGGAGGGAAGGCAAGUCAGAUGUGAAAUCCCGCGGCUCAACCGCGGAAUUGCAUUUGAAACUGUUUUUCUUGAGUACAGGAGAGGUCAUCGGAAUUCGUGGUGUAGCGGUGAAAUGCGUAGAUAUAAGGAAGAACACCAGUGGCGAAGGCAGAUGACUGGACGGCAACUGACAGUGAGGCGCGAAAGCGUGGGUAGCAAACAGGAUUAGAUACCCCUGUAGUC